GGAGGAAUUAACUCAUGUACAUACAGAAAAUCUCCACAGACUUGUCUUCCAAUAUUUGUUCUGGAAACUGGAACACACAGAUAAGGCAAGCGCCUGACAUUGGAACUGCAGAAUAAAUUUGCAUUCUCCACGCCACAAAGAGCCCCAUUCACACAGCACUGGGGGAGGCGGCAGGAAGAGGGAAAACCUACUCUCGGCAAAAGGAAGGGUCUGACGGUCUUUCCUCCAGGAGCAAGUUCUCUCAGGCGAGAUCUCAGCCUGUUAGCACCCAACAGCCUAAAACCCUGGAGUCUUAGACCCCUCAGCCCUUGACUUAUCACUUAAUAGAAUCUUAAGACCAAAAAAUUUCAAGUCAGAAUCACAAGACUUUAGGAUUUAAUCAUUAUCCUGGCCACACCCUCAACCAGCACAGGAGUCUGCUCCAUCCUACACCAAGCCUCCAGGCUUUGGAUCAGCCCCAUGGCCACCUCUUCAGGGCAGCCCUCCUUGAUCCCUGAUCAUCCUGAUGAGAAGAACUUGGAGCAGGACCUGAGUGAGAAAAGGAACAAGCCAUUAAAAAUGGGGUAGGGGAAGAUUGUGUCUGUCUGGAUCAAGGCAACAGAUAGUGCAAAGGUCCUGGGAUAGGAAUGUACUUCAUGUGUUUGAGGAAUAGUGAGACUCGGCUUCUAAAUGUGCGAUGAGACAGGAAAAGCAGUGAGGCCAGAAGCUAGAGGAGCCUGUGACUAGACUCUGCUCUGCCCUGCCAUGCUGUGCACCUCCCUGAGCCUCCAUGGAUCCAUCAGGACAGACGAAGAACUCCACUUGCUUCCAGACCCACGGGUGGAGCCUGGUGAAGCCUGGAGGUCCUCCCAAGACCAGGCCACUUAGUUCCAGCUUCUGCCCCAGAGCUGUCCAGAUCCUCAAGGGCAAGGAUUUGUAUCUGUCUGUCUAUCGCUGCAUUUCCAGCGUCUGGAACAGCGCCUGUCAAUACGUAUUUUGUGGAAUGAAUUGUCUGCGUGAUGAGGAAGCUGAGGUGCAGAGAGGGAAAAUGGCAGAACUGGAGUGUUGAAUCUUAAAGGAGACCCACGGAGUCCACGCCAGCCUGGCACAGCCCACCGUUUCAUCCUGCCUUCCCCAGGC
This 1119-nucleotide long non-coding RNA is filed under the name Bos indicus x Bos taurus (hybrid cattle). Its description in RNAcentral is "lncRNA (ENSBIXG00000020626.1)". The record is from RNAcentral. Lineage: Eukaryota; Metazoa; Chordata; Mammalia; Artiodactyla; Bovidae.